Molecule: ribosomal RNA, 490 nt
Filed under: uncultured Desulfobulbus sp.
Lineage: Bacteria; Pseudomonadati; Thermodesulfobacteriota; Desulfobulbia; Desulfobulbales; Desulfobulbaceae
Description: bacterial SSU rRNA
Rfam family: Bacterial small subunit ribosomal RNA
Source: RNAcentral
AACUUAAAGGAAUUGACGGGGGCCCGCACAAGCGGUGGAGUAUGUGGUUUAAUUCGAUGCAACGCGAAGAACCUUACCUGGUCUUGACAUCCCGGAGACCCUUAGGAAACUAGGGGGUGCUUCCAUCUGGAAGAAUCUGGAGACAGGUGCUGCAUGGCUGUCGUCAGCUCGUGUCGUGAGAUGUUGGGUUAAGUCCCGCAACGAGCGCAACCCUUGCCUUUAGUUGCCAGCAGUUCGGCUGGGCACUCUAAAGGGACUGCCGGUGUUAAACCGGAGGAAGGUGGGGAUGACGUCAAGUCCUCAUGGCCCUUACGGCCUGGGCUACACACGUGCUACAAUGGUCGGUACAAAGGGUUGCCAAGCCGCGAGGUGGAGCUAAUCCCAUAAAACCGAUCGUAGUCCGGAUCGCAGUCUGCAACUCGACUGCGUGAAGUCGGAAUCGCUAGUAAUCGUGAAUCAGAAUGUCACGGUGAAUACGUUCCCGGGCCUU